Long non-coding RNA from Triticum aestivum (bread wheat), 708 nucleotides. RefSeq lists it as uncharacterized. The transcript has 2 exons. The record is from RefSeq and is a predicted model, not a curated record. NCBI's taxonomy places the organism in Eukaryota, Viridiplantae, Streptophyta, Magnoliopsida, Poales, Poaceae.
UGGCGAGCUUGAAGAGGAUCUGAAGUAGGCUUGAGAGGCCGCCCGCUAUGCCGAAGCACAAGAGGUUGUUGGUCGUUGGGUCCAUACUAGGGAGAUCGAGGAGUGUAAUCAACUCCAGGUGGAGAAAGACCAAUAGGUGCUGAAGAUUGAAAGACUUAAAAUAUCAGCUGGGCGCCUCCGAGGAGACCAGGUGGGCAUGUGAAGCUUUUGCGGCUGACCUGCCCGGGAAAUUCGGCGAGCCCGGCUGCACAUCUAUGAAAUACAUCCUGAAGGCGGUUAAAGAGUUGCAUCGGCUCUCACAAAAAUCCAUGGUGAAAUUAUUCCGUGCUUUGUGGCUGGAUGACGCCCUGUCGAAAGAUGUGAUCGUGCUGAUGCAAAUGCCUCAAUGGAGCCAGACGCCAGACGUGGAAGGUGUCGGCCUGCCGAGAAGGUGCUCGGGAGGCUUUGGGCUAUUGCCAAGACACACUACCGUCUUUUGAAGACCGAAGUGCUCGCCGAGGUUGUUCCUAAAGGAGUUAAUGGGAAUGAAAUUAAGUCCGUUAUCAAUUAUGAGAAUGUUAUGCCUGCGGCCCGCUUUCCCGAGCGGGAUUGUCGCCUCGACAUUUUUUUUGAGAACUUUCGCCUCGACAAAAUCAUCAAUGGCCUCGACUGAAUUUUUGUAAACAGUCUAAGAUUAAUUAUGACUUUAUGUAUCCAUGUACAUUGUCA